CCAAAUGUGUGUGGCUCUACAUUCAAGCCUAGUACUAGCAACAAAGUCAGUGUGGGAAGGGUGCUGGUGGCUUACACCUGUAAUCCUAGAUACUCAGAAGGCUAACAUCUGAGGAGCUGAGAUCUGAAGAUUGUGGUUUGAAGCCAGCCCCAGCAGGAAA
Molecule: long non-coding RNA, 160 nt
Organism: Perognathus longimembris pacificus (Pacific pocket mouse)
Lineage: Eukaryota; Metazoa; Chordata; Mammalia; Rodentia; Heteromyidae
Exons: 2
Source: RefSeq, a predicted model, not a curated record